Molecule: antisense RNA, 104 nt
Filed under: Staphylococcus pseudintermedius ED99
Lineage: Bacteria; Bacillati; Bacillota; Bacilli; Caryophanales; Staphylococcaceae
Description: ctRNA
Rfam family: ctRNA
About the family: Rolling circle replication plasmids contain a number of mechanisms to maintain a low copy number. One of these methods is to transcribe a small RNA called ctRNA (for counter-transcribed RNA) than is transcribed on the opposite strand to RepB the replication initiation protein. ctRNA binds to the mRNA of repB and causes translational inhibition.
Source: RNAcentral
AUACAAAAUAAAAACAAAACAUCGAUAUUUUUUGUAUCUUUUUUGGGUGAGUCGUUUUCACAAACUUUGGCGAGGGAGUGGAACGACUCUCUUUUUAUUUUGUU